RNAcentral lists this long non-coding RNA (1031 nucleotides) under Mus spicilegus (steppe mouse). RNAcentral's name for it is "lncRNA (ENSMSIG00000015916.1)". The record is from RNAcentral. Lineage: Eukaryota; Metazoa; Chordata; Mammalia; Rodentia; Muridae.
UGGCAGCUUCUGUGUUUGGGAUUCUGGGUGCUUUCCCAGGUAACUGGGUGCUGUUCAUGUGGCUCACCUGGGCUUAUUGUAUUUGCAGAAAUAACAGCUGGGAUCUACAGUGGCCAUAAGAGUUGUCUCCGUCUUGCUACAUCGACAAACUGGUGCUUCUGAGUGAGGAUUGUGCCCUGGGAUGGGGGAUUCAGUUUCUUCAUUUAUAGUUGGAAGUGUGAAGUAGCCACUUCGGAAGCGUUUUCCUCUCCACUCUGUGACAACAGGCAAGAGUGAGGGUCCAACAAUACAGAGGAAGUAACGUGUCGCUGCUACUCUUCCAUGCCCAGUGCCAGGAGCGACGGUACACUCCAGAGUGCUGUGCCCUGAUGGGCCUUUGAGCGGCCAGUGCAGUGGAUCAUCAGCCCUGUCUCCCAAGAGCUCCAAUCUCUUCUCUGGAGAGGAAGGAAGUGAGUCCACUGGCAGCUCAGGAGGCCAUAGCAGGAUUGUCACGUGUGCUCAACAGUCCUCCUCGGCUUUCCAGAAGAGGCUGGAACAGGGCCCUUGAAGGUAUGACUCCAGAUGCCUCACUAUAGAGCUGCAGUGGGCCAGCAGAGGCCACAGUCAUGAAGAAAAGCUGAGGCUGCUUCCCCACCUGGGCCAGCGGGAACUUGGCUCUUCCAGCCCCUGACACCUCACUUCCCCACAUCUUCAUAGUGUGAAGUAAAGAGCUACACUAGGGUCACAGGAGCCCCUGGGAACCUGCAUGGUUUCAUUGGGUUCUGCAGUUGGCUUGAGAAUGGCUACAACUGGGGUGCAGUUAGCCUUCUCUGAACUUGGUGGGCACUUGUUAGGGAGCAGUCCCGUCCCAGACUCAUGAGGACUCAUGAGUCCUCAGAAGUUAACCCCCUGCCCCAAACUUGUCUUUUUUCAUUCAUUGUCUUAGUAAGAGACCACUGAAGUAAUGGUUCUCAAAUUGUGGUCUCUGAAGCAACACUACCACCAUCCCUUGGAGUGUGUGAGACUGGUCCUGCCUGCAGGCAGCAGUAUUU